This 180-nucleotide ribosomal RNA is filed under the name uncultured Glomeromycotina. Its description in RNAcentral is "partial small subunit ribosomal RNA". The stretch from base 44 to 180 matches the Rfam family "Eukaryotic small subunit ribosomal RNA", at positions 690 to 829 of the family's 1831-position model. Lineage: Eukaryota; Fungi; Glomeromycota. The record is from RNAcentral.
GGGUCAGUAGGUUGGUCAUGCCUCAGGUAUGCACUGGUCUCACUGAUUCCUCCUUCCUGAUGAGCCGUAAUGCCAUUAAUUUGGUGUUGCGAGGAAUCUGGACUUUUACUUUGAAAAAAUUAGAGUGUUUAAAGCAGGCCUACGCUUGAAUACAUUAGCAUGGAAUAAUAGAAUAGGACU